AUCGCUUCUCUGCCUUUUGGCUAAGAUCAAGUGGAGCAUCUGUUCUUAUCAGUGUAAUAUCUGAUACGUCCUCUAUAUGAGGACUACAUAUUAAAUAAAAUGUUUAGAACAGGGAGGCGGAAGAGGGGCUUGCUCCGUCCGCUCCACGCGUCGACCUGGUAUUGCAGUACCUCCAGUAGGGGCAGUCAGG
This is a small nuclear RNA of Pygocentrus nattereri (red-bellied piranha), 190 nucleotides long. Its record names the gene U2. It matches the Rfam family "U2 spliceosomal RNA". Rfam says of the family: U2 is a small nuclear RNA (snRNA) component of the spliceosome (involved in pre-mRNA splicing). Complementary binding between U2 snRNA (in an area lying towards the 5' end but 3' to hairpin I) and the branchpoint sequence (BPS) of the intron results the bulging out of an unpaired adenosine, on the BPS, which initiates a nucleophilic attack at the intronic 5' splice site, thus starting the first of two transesterification reactions that mediate splicing. Lineage: Eukaryota; Metazoa; Chordata; Actinopteri; Characiformes; Serrasalmidae. The record is from Ensembl.